This is a ribosomal RNA of Ursus americanus (American black bear), 120 nucleotides long. NCBI's taxonomy places the organism in Eukaryota, Metazoa, Chordata, Mammalia, Carnivora, Ursidae. The record is from Ensembl.
GUCUACGGCCAUACCACCCUGAACGCGCCCGAUCUCGUCUGAUCUCAGAAGCUAAGCAGGGUCGGGCCUGGUUAGUACUUGGAUGGGACACUCUUCUUUCUAAGCCAGUUACCUUUCCCC